UAUGCCAUUUUUUUGACGAUUUUAUGCCUUACUAUACAACCACCUUUGUAUAAUGAACUGAGUUAAAUUCAAAUACAGAGUAUAAUCUAGGUAAAGUUACAGUUUUAACAGUUGCUAUCACAGCAUGUUCAGAAUGUGUUGUCCGUCAGCAUUUUCCACCACCAGCUCAGACAUGCAAUCCAUUCUGCAUAUGGUAGAGUUUUAAAGAGGUGUUUGCUUUUCUGCUCUCACUUUCUCAUGCUUCAAAAUAUUAUGUAAUGACACCCAAGAGAGAGCGAUUUAUUUUGUGGUUCAGUUGGAGUUAAGUUGAAAUGAGUAUGCCCAAUUAUGAGCUAUUCCAGUCUGAUAGUAAUAGUGCAUCACAUGUCCUGUAAGCAGUUUUUCUAGGAGUGAACAACAACAAUGGUGCUGUGUCUGUGAAUGAGUUUCUUUAGUAGUUGUUGUGUUUUUGUCUCAUGGUACCUGCUGUCAGCUUAUCAGUUAUUCAUUUUGCCUCAGGAAUCCAGCGUGCUAAUUCACCAACUUCACCAAUGUUUCACUAUGCUCACUGUCAUUUCUCAAUGUGACAAUUAAAUUUGUGCAUAUUGUUGUCUCUCCCUCCCCUGGAUUCCCCUCCAUUACAGGCAUAAUCAAUCAUUCUCAUCCCAUGCAUUUCUAGAAAGAACAGCCCCAGCCUGCCGAAUGCAAACAGCAGUAACCGUGAUGAUCAGGGGAGGUGGAGACCUGCUCUCAGUCAAUUCAGAUCUUAGCCAAUCAGCAAGUCCUCCCACUCUUACAGGCUCCGCCCUUUUAUGAACUCUCACCUGAACGCAAUAGAACGCAAACCAAACUGCGUUUUUACUAUGUGCAUGACUUCUUUUUCUUUUGUCUUGCGCCCAUCUCACCCCUUUUUAUUUGGCUUCAUUCAAACUCAAAGCAGGAAGUGACCUGAAUUAAAUUGAAAUACCAUGGCAUCAGUUAGGGACAGUCUUCUUCUUCCUUGGUAAGAUAGAGUAGGUUACUACUGCCAAAAAAGUGAGAUCAUCAUCAUAUAUAUAUAAAUAAAAAGAAAAAAAAAGAGAGGAACAGAAUGGAUCCCAACUUUAGUUUCAUGGAAAUAAAUCAGUUACUCAGGGUUUUUUAAUGCCAACAAGAGAAGUGAUAGUUAACCAGGAAACUGCUGAACAACUUUGACUUAAUCUUUCACUGGGGUUGCUGAAGUGUUUUUCUUUUGUUAUGGUGUUUUUUUUUUUUUUUAAGAGACAUACAA
Long non-coding RNA from Seriola aureovittata, 1249 nucleotides. RefSeq lists it as uncharacterized. Lineage: Eukaryota; Metazoa; Chordata; Actinopteri; Carangiformes; Carangidae. The record is from RefSeq and is a predicted model, not a curated record. The transcript has 2 exons.